Molecule: ribosomal RNA, 603 nt
Filed under: Papiliotrema flavescens
Lineage: Eukaryota; Fungi; Basidiomycota; Tremellomycetes; Tremellales; Rhynchogastremaceae
Description: eukaryotic LSU rRNA
Rfam family: Eukaryotic large subunit ribosomal RNA
Source: RNAcentral
CCUAGUACGGCGAGUGAACCGGGAAGAGCUCAAAUUUGAAAUCUGGCGUGCUCAGUGCGUCCGAGUUGUAAUCUAUAGAGUCGUUUUCCGUGCCGGACUGUGUCCAAGUCCCUUGGAACAGGGUAUCAAAGAGGGUGAUAAUCCCGUACUUGACACAAUGACCGGUGCUCUGUGAUACGUCUUCUACGAGUCGAGUUGUUUGGGAAUGCAGCUCAAAAUGGGUGGUGAGUUCCAUCUAAAGCUAAAUAUUGGCGAGAGACCGAUAGCGAACAAGUACCGUGAGGGAAAGAUGAAAAGCACUUUGGAAAGAGAGUUAAACAGUACGUGAAAUUGUUAAAAGGGAAACGAUUGAAGUCAGUCGUGACUGAGAGGCUCAGCCGGUUCUGCCGGUGUAUUCCCCUCAGUCGGGUCAACAUCAGUUUUGUUCGGUGGAUAAGGGCGGUUGGAAGGUGGCACCCUCGGGUGUGUUAUAGCCAACUGUCGCAUACAUCGGAUGAGACUGAGGAAUGCAGCUCGCCUUUAUGGCCGGGGUUCGCCCACGUUCGAGCUUAGGAUGUUGACAUAAUGGCUUUAAACGACCCGUCUUGAAACACGGACCAAUAU